UAGGGAAUCUUCGGCAAUGGGGGGAACCCUGACCGAGCAACGCCGCGGGAGUGAAGAAGGUUUUCGGAUCGUAAAGCUCUGUUGUUAAGGAAGAACGAGUGUGAGAAUGGAAAGUUCAUACUGUUACGGUACUUAACCAGAAAGGGACGGCUAACUACGUGCCAGCAGCCGCGGUAAUACGUAGGUCCCGAGCGUUGUCCGGAUUUCUUGGGCGUAAAGCGAGCGCAGGCGGUUAGAAAAGUCUGAAGUGAAAGGCAGUGGCUCAACCAUUGUAGGCUUUGGAAACUGUUUAACUUGAGUGCAGAAGGGGAGAGUGGAAUUCCAUGUGUAGCGGUGAAAUGCGUAGAUAUAUGGAGGACCACCGGUGCCGAAAGCGGCUCUCUGGUCUGUAACUGACGCUGAGGCUCGAAAGCGUGGGGAGCGAACAGG
RNAcentral lists this ribosomal RNA (429 nucleotides) under Bacteroidota bacterium. RNAcentral describes it as "Bacteroidetes bacterium partial 16S ribosomal RNA". It matches the Rfam family "Bacterial small subunit ribosomal RNA", at positions 355 to 776 of the family's 1533-position model. The record is from RNAcentral. Lineage: Bacteria; Pseudomonadati; Bacteroidota.